RNAcentral lists this long non-coding RNA (369 nucleotides) under Nicotiana benthamiana. Its description in RNAcentral is "long non-coding RNA (NBEN_LNC017844)". Lineage: Eukaryota; Viridiplantae; Streptophyta; Magnoliopsida; Solanales; Solanaceae. The record is from RNAcentral.
GAAAUGGACAUGCAGCUUAUGGUAUUGAUUGUUUAGAAGAAGAAGAUGAACCUGCUUCAGAAAUUGAACAAGAUAAUGAUCAUGAUCCUUCAAACUGACAAAUUGUUCGCACGGAAUAUUUUGUGCAUUCGACUGUCCUUUUUCUUUUUCUUGAAAGUGGAGUGAAAGCCGGCAGAUAAUGAUCAUGAUCCUUCAACCUGACAAAACGUUUGCGUGUGAUGUUUUGUGCAUCCGGCUGUCCUUUUUCUUUUUUCUUGAUAUGAAAGUGAAAGUCGGUCCAAGAUCCAAAGACGUUUAAGUCUAGUUUUAGUCAGGAUAUAAAAGACAAGUUCAAUCAUCGAAAGUAAUUGAGGGGUUUGGAAAAUUAGG